UGAGUAACACGUAUCCAACCUGCCGUCUACUCUUGGACAGCCUUCUGAAAGGAAGAUUAAUACAAGAUGGCAUCAUGAGUUCACAUGUCCGCAUGAUUAAAGGUAUUUUCCGGUAGACGAUGGGGAUGCGUCCCAUUAGAUAGUAGGCGGGGUAACGGCCCACCUAGUCAACGAUGGAUAGGGGUUCUGAGAGGAAGGUCCCCCACAUUGGAACUGAGACACGGUCCAA
RNAcentral lists this ribosomal RNA (229 nucleotides) under uncultured bacterium. RNAcentral describes it as "partial 16S ribosomal RNA". It matches the Rfam family "Bacterial small subunit ribosomal RNA", at positions 107 to 334 of the family's 1533-position model. The record is from RNAcentral.